UAAUAGAAAGAAAAAAAAAAAAUUGAUUAAUUAGAUUGGAUUAUAACCAUAGGCAAUAGUAUUUAUGAAUAUGAAAUACUCUUCUCUUAUUGGAACGUUUUUUUUUUCUCCUGCUCUCUCUUUUUGGGAAUGGAAAGAUGCAGCUAAGGUCAAAUACUGUAUAAGGCCAAGCUAAGAAGCAAUUGUUCGACUGAGCACAAAGUGAGUGACCUUUGAAGUAUCUUCUGUUGCAAUCCAUCCAAAUACUGUAUACCAGUGCGGCAAAGGCAUAAUGUUAACUAGAGGUUCUAGGGUUAGCUUUCUCCUUCCAUAGUUGACAAGUCAAUUCAUCCGUAGAGGAUGGACGUGUGUGGAAUGCACGCAACGUGCUUGUAAAAAUUUCCAAAUGGGAGAUAUAAAUGGGCAUUGAAUGAAAAAGUGGUUGUGAGAUUCAGGAUAGGUAGAACACAAAUUGGGAACGUGGUUGGGAGCUUGUGGUGGAUUGCAAGCCAAAGAAUGAAGUUAUGCUUGGGUAAUAGUAAUACAAGGGGAGAACCAAGUGAAGUGAGUCCAUGGAAGGGGAAGAGGAAUUUGGCAGUGUGAGAGAGGGAGAAAUUGCCUGUGGGUUAGGGAAGAAGCCUUUUGACCUUAUAAUGCCUAUCAAGAGCCAACAUUGGCAGAGCAUUUGGGCUGUUAAAGCUGUGGGAUCAUGGUUAAGAGAGAAGGAGGCAGUUUCCAUGAGGAGCCAUUAAUGAAAGCACUAACCUUUGUAUUGAGCUCAAAGGGAGAGUUCUGAAUUUUCUCUGUUGUAAAUAAGGUGUGCAAAGGGCCUAUGGAGCACCAGUUGUCAAACCAGAAAUUGGAGUUCAUACCUUUACCAUUUUCUAUUUUGACAAGGGUUUUGAUGGUCGGCCUGAGUUGGAGAAGCUUUUACCAAUUCCAAGAGCACUGUUGUGGAAUCUUCAGAAGCCGUAUGCAUCUACCUCUUAACAGGGCUGCCAUUUUUUGCGCAGUUGAUGUGUCAGCUCCAUAUUUCAGAUCUCUGAUGUACCUUAAUAGAUGGGGUUAAAUGGCAUUGGUUGCUUUGGUUUCUCAUUGGGGAUGACCUGAUAGUAUCUUCUGCUGUUGUUCCGGCCGAAGUUUGACACACUACACUUGUUGGUUUGGAUGCAUAUGGUAUUCUGAAAGAGAACUAAGACUGCUCAUUCACAGGUGACAUUUUUGUCUCAGGUUCACUUCAGCAGUUCUCUUCACUGUAUUCAGUUGAUUAUUUUAUGGUUAAUGCUUCUACUUUUAAAAGGAAAAUUUUCAUUCCUCACACGCUGUUUGUAUGUUUUUAUUUCUUUUUUACUUUGAAAAUUGCCUGUUCCUUUUUGGUCGUUAUAAAUUCGUUCAUCAUCUUCCUGAGGACAAUUUUUGGUGCGCUCUCUCUCUCUUAAAGAAAGAACAGUAGAUAUAUACACACAUAUAACUGUAGCAUUUAAACAGAAUACAUUUCAAGCCAUUUGGAAGGUUUAGAAAUCCUAAACCUUGCAAGACAUAAUCCAAGACUCAUGAAACAAGAAAACACUUGAUAGAACACCAUUCAAACCUUAAUAACCUGAAGAAAGAAUACAUUGCCAAAAACAAGAGCCUGAACUUCAGAGAUGAUGCGCACCUAGAUAUAGGCUGGAUGAAGUUUGGCUGGAGACUUACUUCUCUCAUGCAGAGGCAGCAAUUUACUGGUCGUGCUGAAUUGCUUUAUCCAAUUCGAAGUUUUGUUUUUCAAUUACUAAUUUAUUGCCACGGAAGUUUUCCUGCCAUGCACUUGUAGAGAGCCAAUUCAUGUGUGGCCAUGCCAUUGUGUAUUGUUUAAAUCCAUAUUUCUUCUCCUCGAAAUUCCAGCUUACCGGUGCAAUGGCUUUCUUCGAGUAGGCCUUGGUUAGAGGUUAAUCCUAUCAGUGAAUGGUAGGCCAAGAAUGUCAUAUACAACAAAUCUAACGUUCUUCUUCUGUUUCACUCGUAUAUUUCCCCAUUUGUUUGUACUUAUUUGUAAUAUUUUAUCGAAACAAGGGUUCCAAGAUCUGUAUAAAAUUAUAGUAACAUAAUUGGUAAUUAACCUAAUUAUUUCAUUUUCACAGUCAGUAGGAAAUUUAAUAAUAAUGUUAUAUAUAUCUAAGUAUUUGGUUAAUAAAUGUGAUAUUGAGGCUCCACAACAAAAAAUAAAAAAUAAAAAAAUGUAUAGGCCGGUGAGUAUAUGAUAAAGCAACAGUACUGAAAGCAAGUCUGUAUUUCAGGAAAUCAGAAUUGUAUGGUAGGACUCACAUCCCACCGGAAUUGAGUCACGGGUGAGGUGCCCCAGAUUCACCACUUGUUUAAACAAUCAUAAGAUAAUUCAUUUCUUCUAAGAUAGAAACCAUGCCAAUAAAUUAGGUAAACAGAGUACUGCAUAUUGAUGUUUAAGUUAUAGAAUAUAAGACACAAUAAUGAUCUCUCUGCUCUCUCUCUCUCUCUCUCCCAAUUAUCCAUGUCCUGCUGCAGCUUAUGGCUGCUAAAUUGAUCAUAUAAUAUGCAGUUCUCUUGCUAACA
Long non-coding RNA from Cornus florida, 2547 nucleotides. RefSeq lists it as uncharacterized. The transcript is spliced from 3 exons. The record is from RefSeq and is a predicted model, not a curated record. NCBI's taxonomy places the organism in Eukaryota, Viridiplantae, Streptophyta, Magnoliopsida, Cornales, Cornaceae.